GACGAACGCUGGCGGCGUGCUUAACACAUGCAAGUCGAACGGAAAGGCCCUGCUUUUGUGGGGUGCUCGAGUGGCGAACGGGUGAGUAACACGUGAGUAACCUGCCCUUGACUUUGGGAUAACUUCAGGAAACUGGGGCUAAUACCGGAUAGGAGCUCCUGCUGCAUGGUGGGGGUUGGAAAGUUUCGGCGGUUGGGGAUGGACUCGCGGCUUAUCAGCUUGUUGGUGGGGUAGUGGCUUACCAAGGCUUUGACGGGUAGCCGGCCUGAGAGGGUGACCGGCCACAUUGGGACUGAGAUACGGCCCAGACGCCUACGGGAGGCAGCAGUGGGGAAUAUUGCACAAUGGGCGGAAGCCGGAUGCAGCAACGCCGCGUGCGGGAUGACGGCCUUCGGGUUGUAAACCGCUUUCGCCUGUGACGAAGCGUGAGUGACGGUAAUGGGUAAAGAAGCACCGGCUAACUACGU
This 467-nucleotide ribosomal RNA is filed under the name uncultured bacterium. RNAcentral's name for it is "partial 16S ribosomal RNA". It matches the Rfam family "Bacterial small subunit ribosomal RNA", at positions 28 to 506 of the family's 1533-position model. The record is from RNAcentral.